RNAcentral lists this unclassified non-coding RNA (138 nucleotides) under soil metagenome. Its description in RNAcentral is "partial internal transcribed spacer 1". The record is from RNAcentral.
CCUAGAGUUGUAGGCUUUGCCUGCUAUCUCUUACCCAUGUCUUUUGAGUACCUUCGUUUCCUCGGCGGGUCCGCCCGCCGAUUGGACAAUUUAAACCAUUUGCAGUUGCAAUCAGCGUCUGAAAAACCUUAAUAGUUA